RNAcentral lists this ribosomal RNA (1369 nucleotides) under metagenome. Its description in RNAcentral is "bacterial LSU rRNA". It matches the Rfam family "Bacterial large subunit ribosomal RNA", at positions 1415 to 2910 of the family's 2925-position model. The record is from RNAcentral.
CUGAUGGGAAUCACGUUAAUAUUCGUGAACCAGAUGGUAGUGACGGAUCGCGCAGGUUCGUAUCCCCUUAUUGGAUUGGGGGUGCGAUGAGCCGGUUCCAGGAAAUAGCUCCAUCGACAUUGACCGUACCCUAAACCGACACAGGUGGACUGGUAGAGUAUACCAAGGCGCUUGAGAGAACUAUACUGAAGGAACUCGGCAAAUUGCAUGCGUAACUUCGGGAUAAGCAUGACUUCUAUCGGGGCAACCCUUUAGGAGUGGCACAAAAGAGGGGGUGGCGACUGUUUACUAAAAACACAGGGCUCUGCGAAGUUGCAAAACGACGUAUAGGGUCUGACGCCUGCCCGGUGCCGGAAGGUUAAAAGGAGAGGUGCAAGCUUUGAAUUGAAGCCCCGGUAAACGGCGGCCGUAACUAUAACGGUCCUAAGGUAGCAAAAUUCCUUGUCGGGUAAGUUCCGACCUGCACGAAUGGCGUAACGACUUCCCCACUGUCUCCAGUAUAGACUCAGCGAAAUUGAAUUCCCCGUGAAGAUGCGGGGUUCCUGCGGUCAGACGGAAAGACCCCAUGCACCUUUACUAUAGCUUUACGCUGGCAUUUGUGUCGGCAUGUGCAGGAUAGGUGGUAGGCUUUGAAGCCGGGACGCUAGUUUCGGUGGAGCCAAAAGAUAAGAUACCACCCUUAUCGUCAUAGAUGUCUAACCGCGGCAUAACAGUGUCCGGGACAGCGUAUGGUGGGUAGUUUGACUGGGGCGGUCGCCUCCCAAAGAGUAACGGAGGCGCGCGAUGGUGGGCUCAGAACGGUCGGAAAUCGUUCGACGAGUGCAAUGGCAUAAGCCUGCCUGACUGCGAGACCGACAGGUCGAGCAGAGACGAAAGUCGGUCAUAGUGAUCCGGUGGUCCCGCGUGGAAGGGCCAUCGCUCAACGAAUAAAAGGUACGCUGGGGAUAACAGGCUGAUGAUGCCCAAGAGUCCAUAUCGACGGCAUCGUUUGGCACCUCGAUGUCGGCUCAUCACAUCCUGGGGCUGGAGCAGGUCCCAAGGGUAUGGCUGUUCGCCAUUUAAAGUGGUACGUGAGCUGGGUUUAGAACGUCGUGAGACAGUUCGGUCCCUAUCUGCCGUGGGUGUAGGAAUAUUGAGAAGAGCUGACCCUAGUACGAGAGGACCGGAUUGGACGAAUCUCUGGUGGACCUGUUGUGGCGCCAGCCGCAUUGCAGGGUAGCUAAAUUCGGACGGGAUAACUGCUGAAAGCAUCUAAGCAGGAAGCCUCCUUCAAAACUAGUAUUCCCUUGAGAGCCGUGGAAGACCACCACGUCGAUAGGCCGGGUGUGGAAGCGUAGCAAUAUGUGAAGCUUACCGGUACUAAUAGCUU